Molecule: ribosomal RNA, 509 nt
Filed under: uncultured soil bacterium
Lineage: Bacteria
Description: bacterial SSU rRNA
Rfam family: Bacterial small subunit ribosomal RNA
Source: RNAcentral
AGAUUGAACGCUGGCGGCAUGCCUUACACAUGCAAGUCGAACGGCAGCACGGGAGCAAUCCUGGUGGCGAGUGGCGAACGGGUGAGUAAUAUAUCGGAACGUGCCCAGUCGUGGGGGAUAACGUAGAGAAAUUUACGCUAAUACCGCAUACGAUCCAAGGAUGAAAGCGGGGGACCGUAAGGCCUCGCGCGACUGGAGCGGCUGAUAUCAGAUUAGCUUGUUGGUGAGGUAAAAGCUCACCAAGGCGACGAUCUGUAGCUGGUUUGAGAGAACGACCAGCCACACUGGGACUGAGACACGGCCCAGACUCCUACGGGAGCAGCAGUGGGAAUUUUGGACAAUGGGCGAAAGCCUGAUCCAGCAAUGCCGCGUGCAGGAAGAAGGCCUUCGGUUGUAAACUGUCUUUUGUACGGAACGAAAAGUACUUCUUUACUAAUAAAGAAGGAAUCAUAGACGGUAACCGUAAAGAAGUAAGACACCGGACUAAACGUACGUUGCCAAGCAGCCGA